RNAcentral lists this unclassified non-coding RNA (368 nucleotides) under soil metagenome. RNAcentral's name for it is "partial contains 5.8S ribosomal RNA, internal transcribed spacer 2, and large subunit ribosomal RNA". The stretch from base 1 to 121 matches the Rfam family "5.8S ribosomal RNA", at positions 35 to 154 of the family's 154-position model. The record is from RNAcentral.
GAUGAAGAACGCAGCGAAUUGCGAUAAGUAAUGUGAAUUGCAGAUUUUCAGUGAAUCAUCGAAUCUUUGAACGCACCUUGCGCUCCUUGGUAUUCCGAGGAGCAUGCCUGUUUGAGUGUCAUUAAAAGUUCUCAACCACACAUUAUAAUGUAUGUUGUGGCUUGGAUGUGGGGGGUGUUUUGCAGGCACUCUGAGGUGUGUCUGCUCCCCUGAAAUGCAUUAGUGGUGUCUUGAGCAUUACUACAGAUGUGAUAAUUAUCUACAUCCCAUUAUGCUGCAAACGCUGCUUCCUAAAGCACAUUUGAUGAAUUUGACCUCAAAUCAGGUAGGACUACCCGCUGAACUUAAGCAUAUCAAUAAGCGGAGGA